CCGAGUUGAUUUCUCAGCUGGUCACAAAACUAAUAGUUGUUACCUCAAAGACUUUAUAAUAACUAUUAGUUGAGCGACCAUCUAAUAAAUCGACCCCCAAUAAAUGUCUCAGUCCCCAUUUGAAUGAUUAUUGCCAAAACAAAGUUUGACUAGGAACUUGUUAAGCUUGUUGUUCUGCAUAUUCGAAGAAUUCAUGAAACAAAGUAAGCUGUUCUUCUGAUGAUUAUUUCUUUCCUACUCAAGGAUGCAUUGGAAAUUAGAUCAUACCUGCAUGAUCAUGCUCUGAUGCAAUACGCAGAUAAGCUUGAGGAGUCCGGGAAUUCCCUUACCGAACUUCUUAACCUAAGUACAGUAGAUCUUACUUCAAAGUUCGGAAUGAAAAGGGGCCAUGUUGCCCGUUUUACAGACAGAACUGCAGCUUUUGGGGGAGAUUCUUUUUCAGAAGCCUAUAACCGCCAAGUGAGGAGAAGAACUUCCUCGAGUAGUGAGAGUCUUUAUUACAGGAAGGAUAUUUCUCCUGUCACCUCCCGGAAGCAGAGUAUGAUGAAAUCCCUUACAAGAACCAAUACAGAUAUAUCCCUUGAACAAUCAAUGGCUGAUCUCGCGAUUAAAGAUGGACAUGUUUUUAAGGGGAUUGUAGCUUUUAAGCCAGAUGAGCCUAGAGCAUGUGGCUGUGUGCAGCCAACUCCAGUAGUAGAGAAUGUUGCUCCUUAUUCUUCCAUAGAGAAUAUCUCAGUUCAGAUACUAGCACCAGAAUACAAGAUUGGAAUGGAGCGUCUGGUGAAA
This 786-nucleotide long non-coding RNA is filed under the name Capsicum annuum. Its description in RNAcentral is "long non-coding RNA (CANN_LNC018140)". The record is from RNAcentral. Lineage: Eukaryota; Viridiplantae; Streptophyta; Magnoliopsida; Solanales; Solanaceae.